RNAcentral lists this long non-coding RNA (301 nucleotides) under Ananas comosus (pineapple). RNAcentral describes it as "long non-coding RNA (ACOM_LNC037195)". The record is from RNAcentral. Lineage: Eukaryota; Viridiplantae; Streptophyta; Magnoliopsida; Poales; Bromeliaceae.
AUACAUCAUAAAUCCAUCAUAAAUACAUCAUAAAUUCAUUCCAUUCCAUCAAGAAUGUGCUUUCAAGUCCUUAUACAUCUUGAUUCCACCGGAGUGAACCGUAUAAGGUGAGUAAUGAGCCUCUCUCAAAAUCUUCUCUCGGAUCUCUGAAUUCAUAGGCACACACAGUCGGUCCCUAUAUCGUAGUACUCCCGAACUGUCCACAAAAAAAGCUUCUGCCUGUCCCCUCUCUAACUGCUCUCGAAUCCUCAACAAAUGAGAGUCUCCACUCUGUUUCUCCCUGAUCCUGUCCAACAGAGUG